CAGGGAUUGCCUCAGUAACGGCGAGUGAAGCGGCAACAGCUCAAAUUUGAAAUCUGACCCCCUCGGGGCCCGAGUUGUAAUUUGUAGAGGGUGUUUCGGGCGCGGCGCCGGUCUAAGUUCCUUGGAACAGGACGUCAUAGAGGGUGAGAAUCCCGUAUGUGACCGGCGAUCAAGCCCAUGUGAAGCCCCUUCGACGAGUCGAGUUGUUUGGGAAUGCAGCUCAAAAUGGGUGGUAAAUUUCAUCUAAAGCUAAAUAUUGGCCAGAGACCGAUAGCGGACAAGUAGAGUGAUCGAAAGAUGAAAAGCACUUUGGAAAGAGAGUCAAACAGUACGUGAAAUUGUUGAAAGGGAAGCGCUUGCAAUCAGACCGGUCCGGGGGCGAUCAGCCGCUGCUCGUCAGCGGUGCACUCGCUCUCGAUCCGGCCAGCAUCGGUUUGGGCGGCGGGAAAAAAGUCCCGGGAAUGUAGCUUCUUUCGGGGAGUCUUAUAGCCCGGGUCGGCAUGCCGCCCGCCUGGACCGAGGACCGCGCUUCGGCUAGGAUGCUGGCGUAAUGGUUGCAAGCGACCCGUCUUGAAACACGGACCAAGGAGUCUAACAUCUAUGCGAGUGUUUGGGUGUCAAACCCGGGCGCGGAAUGAAAGUGAACGGAGGUGGGAACCCGUCAGACGGCGCACCAUCGACCGAUCCAGAUGUUUUCGGAUGGAUUUGAGUACGAGCAUAGCUGUUGGGACCCGAAAGAUGGUGAACUAUGCCCGGAUAGGGUGAAGCCAGAGGAAACUCUGGUGGAGGCUCGCAGCGGUUCUGACGUGCAAAUCGAUCGUCAAAUCUAGGCAUAG
RNAcentral lists this ribosomal RNA (836 nucleotides) under Pseudocyphellaria sp. Stenroos 5319. RNAcentral's name for it is "LSU rRNA". It matches the Rfam family "Eukaryotic large subunit ribosomal RNA", at positions 69 to 920 of the family's 3401-position model. Lineage: Eukaryota; Fungi; Ascomycota; Lecanoromycetes; Peltigerales; Lobariaceae. The record is from RNAcentral.